RNAcentral lists this ribosomal RNA (499 nucleotides) under uncultured bacterium. RNAcentral describes it as "bacterial SSU rRNA". It matches the Rfam family "Bacterial small subunit ribosomal RNA", at positions 18 to 518 of the family's 1533-position model. The record is from RNAcentral.
CCUGGCUCAGGAUGAACGCUGGCGGCGUGCUUAACACAUGCAAGUCGAACGAGGCUAUGCAGCGGAAGUUUCGGAUGGAAGCAGCAUAGACCGAGUGGCGGACGGGUGAGUAACACGUGGGUAAUCUGCCCUGCACAGGGGGAUAACAGCUGGAAACGGCUGUUAAUACCGCAUAUGCACACGUUAUCGCAUGAUAGAGUGUGGAAAGAUUUAUCGGUGCAGGAUGAGCCCGCGUCGGAUUAACUUGUUGGCAGGGUAACGGCCUACCAAGGUGAUGAUCCGUAGCCGGCCUGAGAGGGCGACCGGCCACAUUGGGACUGAGACACGGCCCAAACUCCUACGGGAGGCAGCAGUGGGGAAUAUUGCACAAUGGGCGCAAGCCUGAUGCAGCGACGCCGCGUGAAGGAAGACGUAUUUCGGUAUGUAAACUUCUAUCAGCGGGGAAGAAGAUGACGGUACCCGACUAAGAAGCCCCGGCUAACUACGUGCCAGCAGCUGC